GCCCUCGGUGGCUCAGAUGGAUAGAGCAUCUGCCAUGUAAGCAGGAGGUCCCGGGUUCGAGUCCCAGUUGGGGCA
Non-coding RNA from Schistocerca americana (American grasshopper), 75 nucleotides. The record is from the annotation of a RefSeq genome assembly. Lineage: Eukaryota; Metazoa; Arthropoda; Insecta; Orthoptera; Acrididae.